CCCACUUACUGGAUUUUUUUCCUUAUAACCCCUAGAACUAAGUCCUUAUAUCAGGCUUGCCUAAGAAGAAACCAAGCUUUAAGCACUGGCACCAGCUAGGUGGCUUUCCUGUGCCUUUCAGCUUUAUCUUUCCCAAAACAGAAAAAAUUAGAGCUCAGCGAUUCUCCUGGAUACAUACAUAAUACAGGAGGAAAAUGCCACAUGUCAAGACCUAUCACAUACCAGGACCUAUGCAAGGGAUCUAGCAAUAAACAAGGUGAGAGCUUUUUCCUAAGGGAUCUUGUUCAGCAAGUAUGGCCUGGCCAGGAUAGGAAAGGGGAUUGAAUUACAUGCCUAAAGAAAGUAGAAGGGGAAAAGGAAGGAAGAGUUCUAUGUCACUGGAAAACUCCAGAGGGGCCUCCUAGAAGUGGUGACGUUGAGAAAGGCAGAAUAAAAAGAAGGGGCCUGAUGGACUGGGGGAAUGGGAUGAGAGCAGGCCCAGGAACAAGACAGUGUAGAGCUGGGAGAACCAUUUGAAAAGCAUAGUUGGGAUGAGGCGUCAGGUAUGUGAAGAGAGGUUACUGAAGAUAAAGCUGAGGGCUGAUUUGGAAUGUUUGGAUACCAGAAAGGGGAAUCUGGACAUCGUUCUCCUGUGAGCCACGGCCCAGUGAAAGUGCUGGCAUUAACAAAGCAUUCAGGACACCAUGGCCACUUGCCAAGGGGAGAGGCAUCUCGAACCAGAAAGUUUUCCAUUGGUCCCAGGGGUGGAGCUUGGGGCCUUUAGGCUAGAAAACAGAAAUAGGGCCUCACCCCUAAUUAUAGGACAAGGGGAGAAGACUAUUACUCUUUGGGCAUUACUACAAAAGUCUUCCUAACCUUUUCUAGCUUUGUGCUAUCUGAUGGGUUAAACACUCCACCCACCUGUUUUCAAGUCUGCAAAUUGAGUGGGAGUUGAGUUUUCCACCCUUGCUGGUAUUUCACGACUUACGUUGUAGCUAUUUGCAAUCAUGCCUGUCAUUGGCUUUGAAUCUCCAAGUUUCCAUCUCUUUAAAUACCCAUUUCUUUAAGCAUCCCCAUUAAGGCACCAAUCAUUUACUUAUAAAGCAUGGAUCUAGCUAUUUUAUGGUGUCUAUCCAUCAAUAAUGACACAAAGAUCUAUGAUGCAACCUAUCACGUAAUUCUUACAACAACCUUGUGAGAUAAAUGUGGUAUUACUAUUGACGUGUUUCAAACGAGGAAGCUGAGACACCAAGAGACCAGGCAGCAAACCCGAAGCCAUGCAGCUGUAGAGAGCUGGAGAAAUUGGUGGAACCGUUUCACUAAGCUUUCUUGAAAGCACUGUUAAGCUGCUGUGAACUUGACUGGAAGUGUUUGUGAGCUCUCUGAUCUCUCAUCUUCAGAAUUCUCACA
RNAcentral lists this long non-coding RNA (1389 nucleotides) under Oryctolagus cuniculus (rabbit). RNAcentral's name for it is "lncRNA (ENSOCUG00000038789.1)". The record is from RNAcentral. Lineage: Eukaryota; Metazoa; Chordata; Mammalia; Lagomorpha; Leporidae.